UUAACAAAUUAAUGCUAUAUAAAAGUUAGAAGCUUUUUUUAUAUAUUUCUUU
RNAcentral lists this transfer RNA (52 nucleotides) under Xylobanus sp. VK-2011. RNAcentral's name for it is "partial tRNA-Ser". Lineage: Eukaryota; Metazoa; Arthropoda; Insecta; Coleoptera; Lycidae. The record is from RNAcentral.